CAUCAUUCAGCAGACUUAUUAUUGAUUAAAGCAAGGCUUCGUGUGAAGGAAAAUACAAAACUUUUCUAUUAGGAAACUAGAAAGAACGAAGGGGAAAUAUAUGCGAUAUCUCAUUAUAUAAACUUACUAAGAACUAUAGUGGCGGGUGGUAACUGCCCCACCACUGCCCAUGUCCGGACUCUCCCUUUUAAAACAAGGGAGACCAGAAUCUACACUAAACUAACAGAGCCAUUUUCUAAAUUAAGCCCCUUUUCACUACUGCAAUUGACCCGAACCAAACUUGACUGCUGACCCCUUCGUAUCUUUGUCUUGUACUCUUCUUCUACAUUUAGGAUACACCAUUAAGCAAGUUUGGGGCUCUAGGUGAACUGUGACCCACUAAAGGUCUGGCCAAAGGACCAGCCAGCAGGGACAACAUUGUUUGAGACAGCGGUUCGCCCAUCGCUUAAGGUCACCUUGAAGGAGAGGCUCUGUCCGUUGAGGUAGGAGUUGCUUUGCCAGUUCUGACCCCAGUUCCUAGACAUGGGUUGCCAACCUGUUUUUGACCCUUUGAUGGAAACACUGUGGACAUCACCAGCACCUCCAACGUUGGAUAUCAGUACUAAGUUGAAGUAAGAAUGGCCAUUCAUGGUGAACCUGAUGCCUCCUUUCUUGAUGCAGGGUACCCUACGGAAAAACAGGGGAAACAGAGAAUUAAUGCGGUAACAAACUGAGUAAAGACAAAACAAAGAGACCCAUCUAGGCCACAGCACAAACAAACAAAAAAGGAAAAAGGAAAAAAAAUUCCUACUGCAUACCUUCUGUAGGAGACUGGAACAAUCCCAGCUCUGUACUCUGCAAUCCUUUCAAAGACAGGCUGAGAGAGGUCAAAAUGUUGUUGGGGAGGGUUGCACCACCCUCCUGCAUUGUUUGGGAGGGCAUUGUUUGGAGGGCAGAAGUUGGUGGCUGUGACCGUAAUAGAGCCAGAACGACACCACCUUGGGUCAUUCGCACACCUAAUCUCGAAACAAGCACCACAGCUCAACCCACUGUUGAAUAAGGCUGUGCUCAAAGCUGCAGUGUUGGUC
This 1067-nucleotide long non-coding RNA is filed under the name Vitis vinifera (wine grape). Its description in RNAcentral is "long non-coding RNA (VVIN_LNC005708)". Lineage: Eukaryota; Viridiplantae; Streptophyta; Magnoliopsida; Vitales; Vitaceae. The record is from RNAcentral.